GGGUUAGUAGGUUGGUCAUGCCUCUGGUAUGCACUGGUCUCACUGAUUCCUCCUUCCUGAUGAGCCGCAAUGCCAUUAAUUUGGUGUUUUGGGGAAUUUGGACUGUUAAUUUGAAAAAAUUAGAGUGUUUAAAGCAGGCAUACGCUUGAAUACAUUAGCAUGGAAUAAUGAAAUAGGACGUUCGAUCCUAUUUUGUUGGUUUCUAGGAUUGACGUA
This 216-nucleotide ribosomal RNA is filed under the name Campeiostachys nutans. Its description in RNAcentral is "Elymus nutans partial small subunit ribosomal RNA". The stretch from base 40 to 216 matches the Rfam family "Eukaryotic small subunit ribosomal RNA", at positions 686 to 864 of the family's 1831-position model. The record is from RNAcentral. Lineage: Eukaryota; Viridiplantae; Streptophyta; Magnoliopsida; Poales; Poaceae.